AAUUAGAGAGAUUUUUUUUUAACAAAAUUUAAAUUUAAAAAUUUUUUAAUAACUGAGAUGAAGAAACAGAAGUGAGACAUGAAAUUUAGAAAAGGGCUAUAGAAUUACCCGAAAAUUAAACACCAAAAUUCUUUUGAUAAUUAACUACGAGAAUCAACAUACAAAUAAGAAGUUGAGAGAUCAACUGUUCUGCCUUGGCCCCAAAAUUUAAUUAAAAAAAAAUGCACAGGUCAAUUAUAUGAACUGAAAGAAAGGGUUACUCCUUUUGCCUAAAAAGACACACUAUUAUAAAGUGAUGAUCAGCUUCAAAUAGUGUUAAGAAACAGCUUAAUAAUCCCCAAAAAGAGAGAGACAUGAUAUCCUAAUAGCAUUUAAAUAGGACACUAUACUCUAAACAUACCAGUCUUUUCCCCAUAUAUGAAAAUUUAGAGACCUUAGCACUUCAUGAACCCUGCCAGAAAUUUUGCCCAAAAACUACUGAAUCAUGUAAAUACAGAUUCCUGCAAUGGCUCCAAGGAAAAAAAAGACCGUACAUCUAAAGGGAAAGAUAAUAAGAUAUUCGGAUAUGAAUUUGAGGUUUCCCCCCAAUCACAGAAGUCACACGUAACCCCAAGCAACGGCAUUCCAUUAGCUAAGAUAGUCUAAGUAUACCAUUGAGAAUGCACGACAAACUCCAAUUAUUUCCCUUCUUUUUACAUUCCCAGUAUCAAUAAUUCACUAGUUCAAUGGGCCUUUGCACUCCCAAGUGUGAGCUCAAGAUCAUCAACCCCUAUCUCGUGAAUCCUCUCACCCUCCCAUGGCUUCACCCUGCCAUUCUCAAAUUCAAAUUCUGACCCUCUCCCCCUCUCUGCUGCUGCCCCCCAGCCUAAUCCUCCAUGCCCAUCAACUCUAUCCUGAAAACCACUCUGCUGGGCCACUGAUUUGACAAGAUUAAAUGUUGGUGAUGGAGGAGCUACCUGGGCAGCAACUCCCUGAAAAUUCGCCCAGCGGCCAGAGUCCACAGUAGAGGCAUCAGACUCAUCACAUUCUGGUAUUGUUGCUGGUGUAAGAUGCUGGCGCCGUGUAGGACUUGAAGGGGCAGAAACAGCAAAAAGGGGAUGGCCAAAUGAGUUUAAGGAGCCAUGUGAAAAGGAUUCCCAGUCAGCUUUCCUCUUUGAACUUCUGGAAGUGGGGGAAGAAAGGGGAGGUGUUACAGGAGCACUAUUGGAUAUUCUAAGAGGAGGAAGGCUCGUGGGGAUUGAAGCUAUGUUGCGGAGGAAUGGAAGAAGGUAUGUGGAGGGGUUGCCAUCAUACCGAGUGGGACUUGGGAAUGAGGAUGAUGUUGGACUGGCAUGGUAGGAAGGUACAGGACUUGGAAAAUUUGAGGAUUGUGGGCUAGGUUGAACAGAGGAACAUGCACUGAUGUUUGUUGAAGUGCCCGCUAUCUCUAGUGGGGGUGGCUUGCAGCCCUGUGACAAAAGACUUCAAGAGUUAAUAAUCAGUUUUGGGGUGAUAAUAUAAAAUUGCGUGACAAAAACAUCAUAUGAGAUUGAAUGUGCGAGAAUUUUACAUAUUUCUUAGGUCUAUCCACAGAGGUGAAGAAAUUGUUGGUUUGUUUAUUGAUCAUAAUGAAAAAUUGAAGCAAACAAAAGGGUGUUUGAUUUCUAGGAGAAUUAAUACCAACGGAGAAAUGAAUCUAUUGAUGAGAAGAAACCCAAAAAUCACAAGAAAUAGAAAUCAACUACACAGCCAAAACAAGGCAAAAGAGAGGAAAAAAACAAAUAAGACUUGAUCGAAAGAGGGCUGGAAACUCUACCGUUAUCUGCUCUCAAGAUUUACUUAAUCAAAGCCCAAAAAUUCAACAGAUCAAACAUUUGUAUAUAUAAAACCACAGCCCCGAAAUCAUUGGAAUCUAGAAAAAAUUGAGAACAGAGAAUUCCCCAAAUCCGGACAAAUAAGAACAACAUAAAUUCCAGAUGAAGACAAGGCGAACCAAGAAGAGAAAGCGAAGGUCAAGAUCGAUAGAAAUUAAACCUUUCUCAAUUUAUAAAACAAAAUCUGUAAACCAUGCAUGUAGAUCUAUGAGACAAAUUGAAGGAGAAAAAAAAAACAAAUUAAAAAGAAA
RNAcentral lists this unclassified non-coding RNA (2104 nucleotides) under Hevea brasiliensis (rubber tree). The record is from RNAcentral. Lineage: Eukaryota; Viridiplantae; Streptophyta; Magnoliopsida; Malpighiales; Euphorbiaceae.